RNAcentral lists this ribosomal RNA (995 nucleotides) under uncultured bacterium. RNAcentral describes it as "bacterial SSU rRNA". It matches the Rfam family "Bacterial small subunit ribosomal RNA", at positions 358 to 1371 of the family's 1533-position model. The record is from RNAcentral.
GGAAUAUUGCACAAUGGAGGAAACUCUGAUGCAGCAACGCCGCGUGGAGGAUGACGCAUUUCGGUGUGUAAACUCCUUUUAUAUAGGAAGAUAAUGACGGUACUAUAUGAAUAAGCACCGGCUAACUCCGUGCCAGCAGCCGCGGUAAUACGGAGGGUGCAAGCGUUACUCGGAAUCACUGGGCGUAAAGCGCAUGCAGGCGGUUUAUUAAGUUGGAAGUGAAAUCCUAUGGCUCAACCAUAGAACUGCUUCCAAAACUGAUAAACUAGAGUCUGGGAGGGGAAGAUGGAAUUAGUAGUGUAGGGGUAAAAUCCGUAGAGAUUACUAGGAAUACCAAAAGCGAAGGCGAUCUUCUGGAACAGUACUGACGCUGAGAUGCGAAAGCGUGGGGAGCAAACAGGAUUAGAUACCCUGGUAGUCCACGCAGUAAACGAUGAAUGUUAGUCGUUGGGACUCUAGUAGUUUCAGUGAUGCAGUUAACACAUUAAACAUUCCGCCUGGGGAGUACGGUCGCAAGAUUAAAACUCAAAGGAAUAGACGGGGACCCGCACAAGUGGUGGAGCAUGUGGUUUAAUUCGAAGAUACGCGAAGAACCUUACCUAGCCUUGACAUACUACAGAAUUUGACAGAGAUGUUGAAGUGCCUUCGGGAGCUGUAAUACAGGUGCUGCACGGCUGUCGUCAGCUCGUGUCGUGAGAUGUUGGGUUAAGUCCCGCAACGAGCGCAACCCUCGUCCUUAGUUACUAACGGUUCGGCCGAGGACUCUAAGGAGACUGCCUUCGUAAGGAGGAGGAAGGUGAGGACGACGUCAAGUCAUCAUGGCCCUUACGGCUAGGGCAACACACGUGCUACAAUGGUUAGGACAAUGAGAAGCGAUACCGCGAGGUGGAGCAAAUCUAUAAACCUAAUCUCAGUUCGGAUAGCAGUCUGCAACUCGACUGCUUGAAGCUGGAAUCACUAGUAAUCGUAAAUCAGCUAUGUUACGGUGAAUACGU